RNAcentral lists this ribosomal RNA (253 nucleotides) under uncultured bacterium. Its description in RNAcentral is "partial 16S ribosomal RNA". It matches the Rfam family "Bacterial small subunit ribosomal RNA", at positions 524 to 776 of the family's 1533-position model. The record is from RNAcentral.
UACGGAGGGGGCUAGCGUUGUUCGGAAUUACUGGGCGUAAAGCGCACGUAGGCGGCUUUGUAAGUUAGAGGUGAAAGCCCGGAGCUCAACUUCGGAAUUGCCUUUAAGACUGCAUCGCUUGAAUCAUGGAGAGGUCAGUGGAAUUCCGAGUGUAGAGGUGAAAUUCGUAGAUAUUCGGAGGAACACCAGUGGCGAAGGCGGCCCCCUGGCACAACACUGACGCUCAGGUGCGAAAGCGUGGGGAGCAAACAGG